Molecule: long non-coding RNA, 1130 nt
Organism: Vombatus ursinus (common wombat)
Lineage: Eukaryota; Metazoa; Chordata; Mammalia; Diprotodontia; Vombatidae
Source: Ensembl
GUCAGUUCUGGGAAAUGAGUUCAUACUGUUCCUUCUCAGUCAUAUGCUGCCCAUAAAGACAGGGUCUGAGCCUGGGUGUCAGGACAGUCAGAACAGGCCUCCUGAGAGCUCUGGGUCUCCUCCUAAAAGUGUUGUCUUCCCAUCUCCAAGCACCAUGGUCUCCUUGCCUGUCUUCUCCAUCUUGAUCAUUUCCAUUUCUGGCCUCUUCACCAUACCUCCAGCAGGUUAACUGGAGCAAGUCAUUUCUCCUCUCUGUGCCUCAGUGUCCUUAUCUGUAAAACAGAAGUUUUACACAUAAAAGACCUUAAAAGUCCCUUCCAAUCUUCAAUCUAUCAUCCAGUGACAUAAAAGAAAUGUAUGAAGACAAGAUGGAGAAAUCCUUCAGUAAGAACAAGGGAUCAUUGCUUUUUAAAACUGCUUUUGGUCCAAGCCAGGUGACAGCUUUUUCCCAAUGCCGUGAGGCAUUCAAACCCAGCAAAGUACAGACUUGUCUUUAGUGACCUCACAGCAACCCUGAAAUGGGACCAGAAGGAUCAUCCCUAUUUCACAGCUGGGGGACAGAGUUUUGGAGGGGCUAAGUAACUUGUUCAAGGUUUCCCAGCCCUGAGAGAGACGGAGAGAAGAAAGAACCCUGGUUUUCCCACUUCUCAGUCAAGUUCUUUAGGCCCUCUGGGGGUGUGGCCAAAGCCCUCUCAUCCUAUCUCAUGCAUCUGGUCCCUCUCAGGAAAUGUCUAAGGCCUCCCUGGUUGAUGGACCCUCCUCUUUUGGGGUGUAAGAUCCUGUGCCUAGUGUAGCUCAUACUGAACCUUCCCUGCCCACAUCAUCAUGACCCAGCCCCCUGGGAUAGUGUCUUGAGUGAAGGAAAAGAGAGAUUGUUGGGAGAGGAGAGAAAAGGAGAAAAAGGGGAUAGAAUAACUGGAGUAGAAAGAGAAGAUUUAGGAGGAGGAAACUGUGGAGGUAGAGGAAAAAAAGAGGAGGACAGAGAAGGAGGAAAAGAGGAUAGACUAGUUGGAGUGGGAAGACAAAAUGCAGGAGAAAGGAAAUGAGGAAAUAGGAGGAGUUAGGAGAACAAUAAGAGGAAGAGGAGUGAACCUAGGCCUUCGAGAUUCCUCCAGAAACAUUGGGUCAUC